UACGUAGGGUGCGAGCGUUAAUCGGAAUUACUGGGCGUAAAGCGUGCGCAGGCGGUUUUGUAAGACAGAUGUGAAAUCCCCGGGCUUAACCUGGGAACUGCGUUUGUGACUGCAAGGCUAGAGUACGGCAGAGGGGGGUGGAAUUCCACGUGUAGCAGUGAAAUGCGUAGAGAUGUGGAGGAACACCGAUGGCGAAGGCAGCCCCCUGGGCCUGUACUGACGCUCAUGCACGAAAGCGUGGGGAGCAAACAGG
This 253-nucleotide ribosomal RNA is filed under the name uncultured bacterium. RNAcentral describes it as "partial 16S ribosomal RNA". It matches the Rfam family "Bacterial small subunit ribosomal RNA", at positions 524 to 776 of the family's 1533-position model. The record is from RNAcentral.